AUAACAAGCCCUAAGGUGGGGGAUAAUCUCGGGAAACUGAGGAUAAUACCCCAUAGGUCUAGCAUGCUGCAAUGCUACUAGGCCGAAAACUCCGGUGCCUUAGGAUUGGUCUGCGGUCUAUCAGGCAGUAGUGGGUGUAAUGGACCCACUAGCCCGUGACGGAUAUGGGCCUUGAGAGAGGGAGCCCAGAGAUGGACUCUGAGACAUGAGUCCAGGCCCUACGGGGCGCAGCAGUCGCGAAAACUUCGCAAUGGGGGAAACCCCGACGAGGGAAUUCCAAGUGCCAGCACUUUGUGUUGGCUGUUCUUCUGUCUAAAAAACAGGAGAAGUAAGGGGCGGGUAAGACGGGUGCCAGCCGCCGCGGUAAUACCCGCGCCCCAAGUGGUGGUCGAUAUUAUUGAGCCUAAAACGUCCGUAGCCGGUCUUCUAAAUCCUUGGGUAAAUCGGGCAGCUCAACUGUCCGAAUUCCGGGGAGACUGGGAGACUUGGGACCGGGAGAGGUCAGAGGUACUUCUGGGGUAGGGGUAAAAUCCUGUAAUCCUGGAAGGACCACCGGUGGCGAAGGCGUCUGACUAGAACGGAUCCGACGGUGAGGGACGAAGCCCUGGGGCGCAAACGGGAUUAGAUACCCCGGUAGUCCAGGGUGUAAACGCUGCGGGCUUGGUGUUGGGGGUCCUUAGUGGGCGCCCAGUGCCGGAGAGAAGUUGUUAAGCCUGCUGCUUGGGGAGUAUGUCCGCAAGGAUGAAACUUAA
Molecule: ribosomal RNA, 752 nt
Filed under: uncultured archaeon
Lineage: Archaea
Description: bacterial SSU rRNA
Rfam family: Archaeal small subunit ribosomal RNA
Source: RNAcentral